RNAcentral lists this long non-coding RNA (211 nucleotides) under Gossypium raimondii (Peruvian cotton). Its description in RNAcentral is "long non-coding RNA (GRAI_LNC002980)". The record is from RNAcentral. Lineage: Eukaryota; Viridiplantae; Streptophyta; Magnoliopsida; Malvales; Malvaceae.
UUGGGUUGAUUAUUUGUUUGCUAUAGAUUAUAGAAUAAAAAUUUGAUGAUUAAACGUACUCUAACUAACGUUUUCAAAAUCAAAACGGAGGUCAAAUUAGUUAGACCAUUGGUUGGUGUGGUUCAAUUAAAUGAAUCAUUAAAAGAUAUAAAAAUAAAAAUAUUUUGAAAAAUAAUUGAUUUUUAACCUAGUUCUAAACCGCCCAUACUGG